Molecule: small nuclear RNA, 106 nt
Organism: Hyaena hyaena (striped hyena)
Lineage: Eukaryota; Metazoa; Chordata; Mammalia; Carnivora; Hyaenidae
Source: RefSeq, a predicted model, not a curated record
GUUCUCUCUUUGGCUGCAUGUAUAGUAAAAUUUGAACAUUACAGAGAAGAUUAGCAUGGACUUGCACAAGGAUAACACACAAAUUUGUAAAAUUCAUUCAAAUUAA